CUGCAUGGCUGUCGUCAGCUCGUGUCGUGAGAUGUUGGGUUAAGUCCGUAACGAGCGCAACCCUUGUCCUUAGUUACCGGCACGUUAUGGUGGGCACUCUAAGGAGACUGCCGGUGACAAACCGGACGGAAGGUGGGGAGUGACGUCAAGUCAUCAUGGCCCUUACGGCCUGGGCUACACACGUGCUACAAUGGUCGGUACAAAGGGUUGCCAAGCCGCGAGGUGGAGCUAAUCCCAUAAAACCGAUCGUAGUCCGGAUCGCAGUCUGCAACUCGACUGCGUGAAGUCGGAAUCGCUAGUAAUCGUGAAUCAGAAUGUCACGGUGAAUACGUUCCCGGGCCUU
Molecule: ribosomal RNA, 343 nt
Filed under: uncultured Pseudomonas sp.
Lineage: Bacteria; Pseudomonadati; Pseudomonadota; Gammaproteobacteria; Pseudomonadales; Pseudomonadaceae
Description: bacterial SSU rRNA
Rfam family: Bacterial small subunit ribosomal RNA
Source: RNAcentral